Molecule: ribosomal RNA, 253 nt
Filed under: uncultured bacterium
Lineage: Bacteria
Description: partial 16S ribosomal RNA
Rfam family: Bacterial small subunit ribosomal RNA
Source: RNAcentral
UACGUAGGGUGCAAGCGUUGUCCGGAAUUAUUGGGCGUAAAGAGCUCGUAGGCGGUUUGUCACGUCUGCUGUGAAAACUCGGGGCUUAACUCCGGGCCUGCAGUGGGUACGGGCAGACUAGAGUGCGGUAGGGGAGACUGGAAUUCCUGGUGUAGCGGUGAAAUGCGCAGAUAUCAGGAGGAACACCGGUGGCGAAGGCGGGUCUCUGGGCCGUAACUGACGCUGAGACGCGAAAGCGUGGGGAGCGAACAGG